CAGCGAACAAAAUCAGGCGAACAAGGCUCCCUCGCACGUAUCGAAAAAAAUCGGACGAGGACCCCAACCCCCGACCUACCUCUCCCAACUCGCCCUCCCUCCCAGCACCGCCGUUCCUACGAUCAGCCGGCCACCGCAACCUCCCUCCCAGCUGGCUGCCAUGGCACCACCACCUCCUCCCCCCGCAGCCUUGUACAUCGGGAGGCGACCACGCGCCAGGCCUAGGUGGGUCUCGGCCUCCCUCCCCGCUUUGUCCAAGGCUAGGAUCUCCCCUCCCCGACCGAUCUGACGGAUCAAGGCGGUGGCGACGGUCGCACCGCUUCCCUGCAAGUCGAGUAAACCUGCCCCCUCCCCUGCAUCGACGACGCCUGCAGACCCACCCUCCGCUCACUCUCACACCGGGUUCUCCACGUGCAUGUCCUUCUCUGAGGCGACCCUCAUCUCUCUCUGCCUCCAUGAGGAGAACCGCCCUGGCUUGCCCCCUGACCGUCGAUUUCCAGAUCAAGGUCUCCGUAGUAGGAACAAGGUUUCUUGUCAUCGGAUCCAUGAAGAUUUGACGCCUUCCUUGCGCUGGUGCUGGUUCAUCGGCCAGAUCCCAUCAGAGAGGAGGAGGUUCAUGGCGGAGGGAUGCACGGAGGAGAGGGACGACCUUGCAGGCACCACGUCAUGCGACUGGUCCUUGUUACGCCAUGGCCAACGACACCGACGACAUGUGCAAGGCCACCAGCGCAAAAAGCGGCGCCCAAGGACUGACACCUCGCCACGAUAUUCGGUGCCCAGUCGCACAUCAAAGUCGGCAAAUUUGACAAUCCAGUCAAUGCACUGAUGGAUGGAUCAUGCAGGUUGCUCUGCAGGUUGGUCUAAAGACACUGGUAGAAUUGCACCUGCAAGCUCUGAACAUUCAUGUCAUCAGCUGUGCUUGGUCGAUGUGGACUAUUCUUUCCUCAACACAAGAAAAAUUCAAUUGUCUUCGUGGGAAAUUAAUUGCACAAUUAUUUCAGACAAGUAUGGGUGGAGUAUUAUCUUCUACAGAUCAGGUGGCAAUGGUACUCCCAACGAAUCAGCAGAAGAUUACACCAUGAGGAUGCCGCAUAAUCAACUGCAAAAUAUGCAUGCACACAGAAUUCAGCAAGCCAACCUACAAUAAUUCUCCAUGUUGCAAAGGUCCCGUUGAGGCCUCACGCCAAGUGGAAGAGUGGGACGAGGACACUUGGCAAGGAUGCGGUAGCUCAUGGUUAACCGUGCACAUUGUUGGCCAGGAGUGUGUUAAUUUUUUGGGCUUGAAAUUAACUACUUAACCAGGGACGUGAUGUAUUUACUAAUGUGGAUUUCUAUUGUUCAUUUGCAGCGGUAUUAGGCUGAAUGGGGAAUCUAUUGUGCAUCUAAUUUGUAGAACUGGGGGCAUAGCAAUUUUGGCUCAUCCGUAGACAAUGCAACAAUCAUUUAAUGCCACAAAAGAUAUGAAAGGAAGGAGGUCAAUGGAGCAAAAGGCACAAGAAGGAAGACGCAUCACCACAGGGAUGAUGUUGUCGGCAGCGCCUUUGGAAGGAUUCACUCUAGAGAAGUUACGGUAGUCGGCCAUCAUGCUGGGGAAGCAGGGAGGAUGCCGUUCAGAACGCCUGGGUCUAGAGGAGUGUGUCCAGGUGGAUAGGUGGUGGCCGAGGAUGGCCAUGAGCAGUUGGGUUGGGCAAAUGUCAACGCGAUGGCGUCGUUGCUCAAGGUACCAACUCCUUGUUUUGACCCAACGUUUCUUGGCUAGCUGUACAUGGUCGGGACUGUUUCGUGCAUCUAAGCGACGGCUCAUGCCAUCCACUUCCAAAGCAAUAAGCAAAAUAUUUCAAAAGCCCGUGACAGCGCACGUCCAUCUCUCAAAAGUGAUCAUGUGCCGCGAAGCCUCCUCGUAGUGACGGGAGUCAUGCGGAAGUCCACAUCCGAUCUUUUUCCUGCUUUGGUGUGAUUAGAUUUAGUCUAUCGUUAGAUCAGCAUGAGAGUCAAUGGCAGCACCGAGGUUGAUGGGGUCGCAGAAGCCAUGGCUGCAGCCCCCACCACCAACUCCCUCACCUGUGGAAAGCCACGUGCGUAGCAGAAGUAAAGCACCAUGCACGGCUGGUUGGAGACCAUACCCUUGCUGCUUUCUGAGAUCUCUCUGAACUUCUCUGAAUUUCACCGGCAGUUGCGCGCAUGUAGGAGUGCAAGCGGCCCCACCUCUCUCUGAACCUAUCUGAUUUGUGUUACUGUUGGAUGGUAAACUAAUGAUGUUAAAGUGUCAAGAAAUCAUUGUUACCACUGA
Molecule: RNA transcript, 2290 nt
Organism: Triticum aestivum (bread wheat)
Lineage: Eukaryota; Viridiplantae; Streptophyta; Magnoliopsida; Poales; Poaceae
Exons: 8
Source: RefSeq, a predicted model, not a curated record